UGAGGGGCGGCCGCUGGCCGUGUGCGGCGGGGCGGUGGGACUGAUCGCAGCGUCCGGCGCGUUCCUGCAUGUAGCCAUCCUGCGCAUAGUGCUUGGGUUUCCAGGGAAUCCACUUUCUACAUGUGAUAAGCCUUCAUGCUUAUGAAGUAUUAGAUUAUAUGAAAUUAUUUUUGGUCAUGACUUUCAGAAGGUAGAUCAUCUGGUGAUUUUGUGUGCCUGAAUGACACUUCUUUGAAAGUGCUGGUAUCUACAAGGGUCAAAAUUGCAUUAGAUGAAAUGAAAUUAUCUUUCUUCUGUUUUGGUUCAGGCUUGGUAGGUGGCAUUUGCAGCCUGUUCAUGUGAUUAACCCAUUAUAAUAACAGAUGGAAGUUCUAGUCAAGGGGUCUCCUUUUGAAAGCUUGGAAGAUGCUGAAUUAAAGAAUUCAACCAAGUAAUUUUGUUGAGAAGGACAAGACUCCAUUCCAGAUACCUGCUCAAUCAAGACUGUCUGGAAGUCUUAGGCAAGAAGAUUUGCUUUCAUCUGAAGGAGAGGCUCAAAGUCAGUAAGAUAAAUAUCAAAUGUCAAACUAAGCUGUUUAUACUGAGCUGUGCUUGCAAGACCCAACCAUGUCAGUAUCAGAACUGUUAGGCCACAUGCAUUAUGGACUGUAUCUGAUGCACUUCCAUAAAACCUGCAGCUGAUUCCACUACAGCACACAAUCCCAUUUGGGGAUCCUCAUGCAUUAGGUGCAUGUUAUACAUCUUCUAUUUUAACAUGUUUCUUCCUGAUUUGAGAUGCUGACUUCCUCUGCCAAUUCUUGGUGAGAUUCAUGAAAGCAAAAAGUAGCACAGGGUCGCUUUAUGCUGUGUGAAAGGGCAGUUGCUGAGACAGUAACUUCGGCAAAACCAGUAGCUGGACAAGAACAUCUGCAUUCAGCUCAAUAUGGUUUGUGUUAAUGCACAAGCACUGAUUGCA
Molecule: long non-coding RNA, 955 nt
Organism: Cinclus cinclus
Lineage: Eukaryota; Metazoa; Chordata; Aves; Passeriformes; Cinclidae
Exons: 3
Source: RefSeq, a predicted model, not a curated record